GACGAACGCUGGCGGCGUGCUUAACACAUGCAAGUCGAGCGGUAAGGCCCUUCGGGUACGACGAGCGGCGAACGGGUGAGUAACACGUGGGUGACCUGCCUCUAGCUCUGGGAUAAGCCUGGGAAACGUGGGUCUAAUACCGGAUAUGACUCCACGGCGCAUGUUGUGGGGUGGAAAGCCUUGUGCGGCUAGAGAUGGGCCCGCGGCCUAUCAGCUUGUUGGUGGGGUGAUGGCCUACCAAGGCGACGACGGGUAGCCGGCCUGAGAGGGCGACCGGCCACACUGGGACUGAGACACGGCCCAGACUCC
This 309-nucleotide ribosomal RNA is filed under the name uncultured bacterium. Its description in RNAcentral is "bacterial SSU rRNA". It matches the Rfam family "Bacterial small subunit ribosomal RNA", at positions 28 to 339 of the family's 1533-position model. The record is from RNAcentral.